AUUGCUUCUCGGUCUUUUGGCUAAGAUCAAGUGUAGUAUUCAUACUAGUUUCUCUAUAAAUAUUUUAGGAGAAAGACACAGUAGAAGAAUUGGUAGAGUUUUCAGUAUUCUCUUGAUAAAGUUCAAGCAUG
Molecule: small nuclear RNA, 131 nt
Filed under: Capra hircus (goat)
Lineage: Eukaryota; Metazoa; Chordata; Mammalia; Artiodactyla; Bovidae
Description: U2 spliceosomal RNA (ENSCHIG00010017181.1)
Rfam family: U2 spliceosomal RNA
About the family: U2 is a small nuclear RNA (snRNA) component of the spliceosome (involved in pre-mRNA splicing). Complementary binding between U2 snRNA (in an area lying towards the 5' end but 3' to hairpin I) and the branchpoint sequence (BPS) of the intron results the bulging out of an unpaired adenosine, on the BPS, which initiates a nucleophilic attack at the intronic 5' splice site, thus starting the first of two transesterification reactions that mediate splicing.
Source: RNAcentral